AAAGCAGCAAAAAUUGGACCCUAA
This 24-nucleotide non-coding RNA is filed under the name Arabidopsis thaliana (thale cress). The record is from RNAcentral. Lineage: Eukaryota; Viridiplantae; Streptophyta; Magnoliopsida; Brassicales; Brassicaceae.